UACAGAGGUCUCAAGCGUUGUUCGGAUUCAUUGGGCGUACAGGGAGCGUAGGCGGUUCGGUAAGCCCUUUGUGAAAUCUUCAGGCUUAACCUGGAACAGUCGGAGGGGACUGCCGGGCUAGAGGACGGGAGAGGAGCGCGGAAUUCCCGGUGUAGCGGUGAAAUGCGUAGAGAUCGGGAGGAAGGCCGGUGGCGAAGGCGGCGCUCUGGAACGUUUCUGACGCUGAGGCUCGAAAGCGUGGGAGCAAACAGG
This 252-nucleotide ribosomal RNA is filed under the name uncultured prokaryote. RNAcentral describes it as "partial 16S ribosomal RNA". It matches the Rfam family "Bacterial small subunit ribosomal RNA", at positions 524 to 776 of the family's 1533-position model. The record is from RNAcentral.